Molecule: ribosomal RNA, 406 nt
Filed under: uncultured bacterium
Lineage: Bacteria
Description: partial 16S ribosomal RNA
Rfam family: Bacterial small subunit ribosomal RNA
Source: RNAcentral
AUCGAACGCUGGCGGCAGGCCUAACACAUGCAAGUCGAACGAGUGGCGGACGGGUGAGUAAUGUCUGGGAAACUGCCUGAUGGAGGGGGAUAAAUACUGGAAACGGUAGCUAAUACCGCACACCAUCAGUUGUGCCGAGAGGGGAUUAGCUAGUAGGUGGGGUAACGGCUCACAUAGGCGACGAUGCCUAGCCGGUCAGAGAGGCAGACCAGCCAAACUGGAACUGAUACACGGGCCAGACUCCUACGGGAGGCAGCAGUGGGGAAUGUUGGACAAUGGGCGCAAGCCUGACGCAGCCACGCCGGGUGUGUGAAGAAGGCGUUCGGGUUGUAAAGCACUUUUAGCGGGGAGGCGGUACCCGAAGAAGAAGCAACGGCUAACUACGUGCCAGCAGCCGCGGUAAUAC